Molecule: long non-coding RNA, 369 nt
Organism: Pantherophis guttatus
Lineage: Eukaryota; Metazoa; Chordata; Lepidosauria; Squamata; Colubridae
Source: RefSeq, a predicted model, not a curated record
CUUAAUUGGUUUUUCAGCUCUCAGCUGAGAUCACAGAACCAUUAAAGUCCGAGCAGAUGGCUUCAAACAGCAUUGACAUAGGCUGGGAGAACACAGAUUAGGCCUAGAUUGGCUGGUUCCAAUGUUCUAUAUGGGUGUUAAUCUAUUUCAUCAAAAAUGUCCUGCACAGGAGAAGACCAGUCAAUGGGAGAAAUUGUGAAAUUUACUUCUACCCUGAAAUAUAGAUCUUUUUAGAUUUUACUCAGAUACUGGAAGCACUGAUGGUAAAAGGUCUGGCUAGCAACGGGUGGCAAAAGGCCUCCAAAGAACCUGAUGACAGUUGAUUUGAUGAUGUUUCUCUGUUUUGCAUAAAGACUUAUAUAGCUCUGU